UACGUAGGGAGCAAGCGUUGUCCGGAAUCAUUGGGCGUAAAGCGCGCGUAGGUGGCUUCGUAAGUCCGUUGUGAAAGUCAAAGGCUCAACCUUUGAAUGCCGAUGGAUACUGCGGAGCUAGAGUACGGAAGAGGCGAGUGGAAUUCCUGGUGUAGCGGUGGAAUGCGCAGAUAUCAGGAGGAACACCAAUAGCGUAGGCAGCUCGCUGGGACGUUACUGACACUAAGGCGCGAAAGCGUGGGGAGCGAACAGG
Molecule: ribosomal RNA, 253 nt
Filed under: uncultured bacterium
Lineage: Bacteria
Description: partial 16S ribosomal RNA
Rfam family: Bacterial small subunit ribosomal RNA
Source: RNAcentral